UUGGAUCCUUUAUAUAUUACAAAAAAAACAUUCAAAAACACUUAGAAUAGUGAAUGCACACCAUUAAUGACGCAUUUGAAUGUCAAUCUUUUGUGUUCAGACUACUGGAGCAGGGCUUGAACCGGCAACUUCUGACUUACUAGAAAGUUUCACUGUAAAUUGGAGCUUCUAUCUUUAACUUUCAGGCUCUCAGGCUCAAACCCAGCAACUUCCUAAUUGGGGAGAUAGUCUCUAUUCACUCACGUGUACUCCCACUCAAAACCAGACGUCAUUACGCUUGACAAAAAAAUAUUUAGCGUAAGGAGCCCAUUCCUAAACAGUUCAACUACAACUCCCAGAAGGCAUCGUGCAUAGCACGUCUGCGCAGUACAGACGAUUGGUCGGCCCCGCCCCCGCCCCCGCCCCCCCAAGUGCACCAUUCGGGGCGGGGGCCAACGGCAAAGAGGUGGAGGCGACGGAUUGGCCGUUAACCGGCAGGUGGACCUGUUAGAAGCAACGCUUUCGUGACAAUCAAUGCGGAACGUGACUGUGCUGGCGGCGGCCUGCUUUUGUGUCCUCGCCAUCAUUAUCCCUUUCGGAUUGCAGCCUGGCCGCGAUCCCGGUAGCCUGUUCCCGUUUCGAGAGUGGACAACAGAUCAGUUUGAUAUUGUGAUUGGUAUACUGUCAGCUCGACACCACCAUGGGUUACGUAAUGCACUCAGAAAUACCUGGCUGGGGCAUUUACAGCAUCUGAACCAGCGUGUCCUUGCAAAGUUUAUAAUUGGGACUUAUGGCUGCAACAUUCCUGAUGAGGACAGAGAGGAUCCCUACUCCUGUCAAUUGCUCAACUUUACAAACCCAGUUAUAGGCCAGGAAAUUGAAGCUGUCAGUCUGUUCGGAACUCCUGCUUCAACAUUGCUGGGAAGCAAGAUUUCAAAGAUUGACUUCCGCGUUCUCCAUCCCAUUAUUAUUACAAGAGUUGGGGUAUUCCAUGAUCAGAGAGGAGCAGGUUUUCAUCAGAAUCUCACUGUUCGACUCUACCAAACCACGCUGGAGGAGGUGAUUGCCAGUGCCCGCUUCAGUCCGCUCAGCUCGGGAGUACAAGUGAACCAACUGUGGUAUAAACCAGUGGAAAGAUUCCUUUUACCUAAGGGCUUUGAAGGCACCAUUGCUUGGGAGAGCCAAGACUCUCAGUACCUCAUUACCACAAACCUCACUGAUGUCGUCCUUGACAGUGGAGGAGGUGUUCUUAGAUUCUCUGCAGCUCAGCUUCAGGCAGAGAAGCAGGUGAUUCAGGAUGGUUUUGGACAGAAUGUGGCUGCUGUGGCUGGGGGCUUUACCUACACCAUUCAUGAUGGUGCUACACUCUUGGAAAGCCUCACCACUAGGCCCAAGCGGUUUGAUAUCCACAAAAAUAAGCUCAGGGAAGAAGAUGCGGCCUUACAAAAAGAAAGCCAAACCUAUCAAGAUAUUGUUUUUGUAGAUGUAAUAGACACAUACAGAAAUGUGCCACACAAGUUGCUUCAGUUUUAUCAGUGGUCUGUGGAGACAACGAGUUUCAAGCUGCUACUAAAAACGGAUGAUGAUUGUUAUGUCGAUGUGGAGGCAGUACUAGAGAGAGCCGGAGAGAGACUGGGAGCUACGAAUGUGUGGUGGGGAAAUUUCAGGCAGAAUUGGGCAGUGGAUGGAAGCGGGAAGUGGAUGGAACUGGAAUACCCAAGUCUGGUCUAUCCGGAUUUUGCCUGUGGUUCUGGUUAUGUCGUCUCUCACAACUUAAUUCAAUGGCUGGCAGAGAACGCCAAGACACUAAAAGUCUAUCAGGUGUUGGGCACUUUGUGGGUUUUAACUGGCUUGUGUAUAUCGUGGUUGAAAAGUAUUCACUGGUUACUUGAAUCCAUUUUACUAAUAGAGCCAUUUUUUGUCUUAGCAAUUCCUAAGGUCCGUAUUGUUCCUCUUUUGGUUGCAUAAUAUAAUAAAAGUUGUUAAUUAAUCAUAGCCAUGAAUCUCUAUCAGGUGCUUUACAACUGACUCAGGCAGGAGAGCACUAGUUAAAAGCUAUGGGAACCAGAGGUUCAGAGUCAUCUGGUCUUUUCAAACAUGUCACAUAAGAAAUAUGAGCUAAAGUGGACUAUAUUACCCCUUGGAUCCCAAUAUGCAAUAAAAUAAUGGCUGAUCUUCUCCAUAAACUCCAUUUUCCAAAGGGUGUGAGACUAAUUGUGUGUUGCUAACUACAGCUAUGGACAGGGUAGAUGGUAAGAGUCUCCAAUGCUUUUAGCAACAAAUGACUGAACAGGAAUAUCUCCUGCUCUUGCCACUUGUCAGUGGUGUAUUGGAAGGAUUUGCAGAAGGAUACUUAACCUAUUUGGCCACAACAUAAACACAUGUUCCUUGGCUAUCAUGCCAUGGGUGGGGUCUCAGACCUGGAGAUUAUGGCCUCAGAAGUAGGGAUGCUACUUGCUGUAUUAUAAAACCUCCUUCCAGACCAUAUCUGACUGUCAUAGUCAAUAAGAAAAUGAAAGGUGCUAAAAUGGUAAAGAACUUUGAAUUGAGAGAUUGAAGUCUGAAAUGUUUUAGUAGUACAAGAAAAAACCUUGCUGUCACUGCAUUUCUUGCAUGGUAUAUGGGAACGAGCAACAUCCCUUGCAUCUUACCUUUUCAGAUCAAUAAUCUAAGGAACAUGUUCUCUAUGGACAGUUUUUCUUCUAGUUAAGAUCUAACGCAGGCUGUUGCAUUUGUGCCAUCUCAGCAUAUGGGCAAGACCAACAUAUUAUUGCCUAUCUCUAGUUGCCCUUGAAGGUGAAGAUGUCAGCAUGGGUAUUUG
This is a non-coding RNA of Chiloscyllium plagiosum (whitespotted bambooshark), 2800 nucleotides long. Lineage: Eukaryota; Metazoa; Chordata; Chondrichthyes; Orectolobiformes; Hemiscylliidae. The record is from RefSeq and is a predicted model, not a curated record.